Long non-coding RNA from Xenopus laevis (African clawed frog), 783 nucleotides. RefSeq annotates it as Xetrov90011961m L homeolog. The transcript is spliced from 15 exons. Lineage: Eukaryota; Metazoa; Chordata; Amphibia; Anura; Pipidae. The record is from RefSeq and is a predicted model, not a curated record.
AUAGCUUCCUGUGGGCGAGCCAUAGCUGCGGGGCGAUUUCCGGUGACUUGGGUAUAUAAUGACCAGCUCGCCGCCUCCAUUUCUCUCUUUGUGCGCUGUCGUAUCCGGGAUUGGACUCAGCCAUGGCUUGUCUGCUGACAAAAGAAUACCUGCCUGAAAAUAAGUCUAUGCUUGGGAUCUGCAGUGUCAUGAGACCGCUCAAAGGAUGCAUUGAAAUAUACUACUGAAGCAGACCUGCAGCACAGUGAACAGCCAGUGCAUGGAAAAGGCUGUGGAUAAGAUGUGAAGACUCUGGAACAACUUGAGCUUGUCCGAUGAACUAGAUUAACUUCAGUGCGACAAUGGAAGAAGAGGUCUGCACAACAAUGUAUAUAUUGUGUGUGGCUCCUUCUGUUCAGGAAUUCCUAUGCAGCCAAAUCAUAUUGGAUUGAGAAUAGAUGAAUCCUUUGUACUGGAAUGUACUAUGAAACUGACUUCUGGUUCAACACUUUUUUUGGGGGGAAUAAGGUGCAACACAACUGAGCCACUGCCAUUUGUUUCUUGAAUAUCUACAAAUAUAUGGAGCCUGUUGUACAGGUUUUCUAGAAGAGUGUAUGGCAAGUAAUAACCAUUGCUAAAUGACAAUGGCAGUUCUGCAACACACUGUUGAACCUACACUAGACGCAAAGACUAUCAAGCAACUUGGAAUAUCAUACUAGAAACUAGCACCGCUUUAAAAAAAAAGUGUUCAUGUCUUUGUUUAAAAGAAACUUACAAAUAAAAAUUCAAGCUUCUUUUAAAACA